AAAGUCGUAACAAGGUUUCCGUAGGUGAACCUGCGGAAGGAUCAUUACUAAAACAAAAAAUCCAAACACACAACCUGUGAACCAAAAUUUGAGUUUGUUUAGGCAACUUGAAUUAUUUUCAUGCUUUAUUUUUUUUUUAUAUUGUCUUUUUGUUUUAUUACUAUUUAUAAAAACAUAAACACAACUUUCAGCAACGGAUCUCUAGGCUCUU
This 211-nucleotide unclassified non-coding RNA is filed under the name Ascomycota sp. RNAcentral's name for it is "partial contains small subunit ribosomal RNA, internal transcribed spacer 1, and 5.8S ribosomal RNA". The stretch from base 1 to 47 matches the Rfam family "Eukaryotic small subunit ribosomal RNA", at positions 1785 to 1831 of the family's 1831-position model. The record is from RNAcentral. Lineage: Eukaryota; Fungi; Ascomycota.